Molecule: long non-coding RNA, 2020 nt
Organism: Anopheles coluzzii
Lineage: Eukaryota; Metazoa; Arthropoda; Insecta; Diptera; Culicidae
Exons: 3
Source: RefSeq, a predicted model, not a curated record
UCUUAUUUCAAUAUUUCUUUUUUAGUGAUUGGGUAGAUGUCUUUCAAAAUGAAGGUCAAGUCUAUUGCUGUUUGUCGUUUGUUGUGGUCGGUGGGAAUGCAAGUAUAAGUAUUAUUUUUUAGAAUUAUAAGAUUUGAAUUAUCUAGUUCGUCUAAAAUAGCUUGUCCUUUUUGGUCAAUUUUAUCGUCUCCCCAAAAAGUGUGAUGUGCAUUAAAGUCUCCUGUGACUAUGAUUUUUUUGUAGUUGCUAGUGUUAUGUAUUAUUUUUGUUAUUGUAUGUUGAAUUAUUUGUUUAGUGGUCUGUGGUGCUAUGUAAGUUGAGACUAUAACUAAGUUUCCUUCAUGUAGUAGUAGGGCUGUUGUUUGAAUUCCGUCUGUUUCGUCUGUUAGGCUUAUUUGUUUGUAUUUAAUUUGUUUUUUGACUAGGAUGCAACUCCCACCAUAUCCGUCAUCCCUGUCUGAUCGUAUUAUAUUGUAUCCUGUUGUGGUAAUUUUUUUUUUCUUUUUUUAACCAAGUUUCUUGUAGACAUGCUAAGUGAAUCUUUUCCUCAUGUAGUAUAUGAUUUAGUUCUUCUCUGUUUCUUCGCAGGUUUUGUACGUUUGUUUGGAUUAUUUUUAAAUUAUCCAUGUAAGUAAUUAUAUGUGUUCAGUGUAUUGUUUUUGUGGGGAUGUAUCAUGCUCACCAAUUUCUAGAUUAUGUACUUCUGUGUCACUGAAAUAUAUUUGUAGUGAUCGUAGCGACAUCUAUGCGUCAGGCACGGGAACCACUCCACUCACUUAGCAUAGUUCCAAACCGUAUCAACCAGGAGCUAGGAUCGAGCUACCCAACCAGCAAAACCGAAGCUAUUGGAAAACUUUCCUGUGUGCCAAAGCGAGAGAGCAUGUCUUUUUUCUCUAGAUUUUGGACGGCACAACGCCGAUCGUGUGGCCUAUGAACGAAAAACGGGAGAAGGGGAAACCGAUAUCCUUCGAGUGACACACACGCAUGCAUCUGCAUGCGUAUUCCGCUGAACCGAGACUACACAUCUCUCUCGAUCUCCCAUGAUUUUUCUCCUAUCGCGCUCAUCCGGGUGUUAGGCAUCCUCAGUCUGUCCAGAACUUUCACUGUGGAAGGAUGUGUUGGAGUGAUGUGUAAUUUCUUGUGCCCCGUACUUUGCUCGUUUACGUUUUGUACCGUGUUCCAUCUUCUUCAAUUAUGGAAUGAUUUAUCCUUGUAAAUUUCAAAGUUACAGGUGCACGCGCAUGUUAAUCGACGGUUGCAGACGGAAGGACGGUGUCCGGUUUUAAAAUAUCAAGAUAUCAUCACAGCUCUUUCGUAGAAGAGCGCACUUCAAGGACGCCUAGGAUACGGCUAAACAUGCGCAGCACCAGUCCGUGACGUCAUUUCCAGACAGGCGCCGGCUGAACACGCGCAGCACCAGUCGAGGAUAUCCUAGCGCAGAGGGUAGAAGGAAGAACGAGAGGAAGGGUAACAGAAAGCAACCGCAGCAUUUGGAAGGGGUGAAGCAUCCUGCCGUAUACAGAGUGUGAGUGUGCCAAAACGCAUGUGGAAAGAGGAAGUCCAAUAAAUAGCAUGCGAAAGUGUGCAUAAAGCAAAAAGAAAAAGCGUCACUACUAUAACCAGCAAUCCGAAAAUAUAAGGGGAGGGAUAAAUACAAAUGUAUGCGUAAGUAGGACCAGCAAUCCAAGCAUUUGAAUGUGUGCGUCGGUUUGUGCCGUGCUGAAAGUUUUUACUUUAGCUGCUGCUAGUGUAAAAACUUAAGGAAAGCUUAAAGUAAAAAUUUUUUACACGGGGCGCCUUUGGAAAUUGUUGGCUGGGUAGGUGAUAAGAUCAGAUGCGCCGAUCUGAUUACGAGAGAGGAUCGGAUGCGCCGAAGAGAGGAUCGGAUGCGCCGAAGAUAGGAUCGGGUCGCCGAUCUAAUGGAGAGAGGAGAUCGGAUGCGUCGAUCUAGCUAGACGAGAGGAUCGAGUGCGUCGAUCUAGUUAGGGACGGACCACUUCUCACACGCACCUGAACCAAA